Molecule: ribosomal RNA, 377 nt
Filed under: Gaurotes cyanipennis
Lineage: Eukaryota; Metazoa; Arthropoda; Insecta; Coleoptera; Cerambycidae
Description: partial 12S ribosomal RNA
Source: RNAcentral
AACUAUGGAUUAGAUACCCUAUUAUUUUAAAUGUAAUUUAAAAUUCUUGAUUAUUAAUAGUUAUGUUCUUUAAAAUUAAAAAUUUUGGCGGUUUUUUAGUCUAUUCAGAGGAAUCUGUCCUGUAAUUGAUAUUCCACGAUUAAAAUUACUUUUUUUAAUAAUUUGCAUAUCGUCGUAGUUUGAAUAUUUUAUUAGAAUUUAAAUAUUCAUAAUUUUAUUAGAAAAGAAAUCAGAUCAAGGUGUAGUUUAUAAAGAAGUAGAGAUGGAUUACAUUAAAUUUAUUUAAGGAUUAAUUUUUGAAAAAUUUUAUGAAUUUGGAUUUGGUAGUAAUUUUAAUUAUUUAAUUAAAAUGAUUUUAGCUCUAAAAUAUGCACAUA